This 317-nucleotide long non-coding RNA is filed under the name Manihot esculenta (cassava). RNAcentral's name for it is "long non-coding RNA (MESC_LNC003199)". The record is from RNAcentral. Lineage: Eukaryota; Viridiplantae; Streptophyta; Magnoliopsida; Malpighiales; Euphorbiaceae.
UUUUUGAAUGAAAAUUUUUAUUUUAAUUCUAUAUAAUGAAUAAUUUUAUUUUCAUUCUAUAUAAAUUCCCACCUUAUAAUAAAUUUUUGCAUACAAAUUCUCCCUAUAGCACAUUUCCAACAGUCGCAAAUUAUCUAUAUAAUUUUUUACUUUCAGACAUAAUUAUCCCUAUUAUUAAGAUAAUUACGAUGACGUCUUUAUAAUUUGAUAUAAUUAAUUAAAAUAUCCUUAGAAUUUAAUUUUGUUACUCGGAUAGAAUUAAUGUUAUUUUUCAAUUUUUUCACCCUGAAUCAAUUAUUUUUCUUUUAAUCAUGGAA